RNAcentral lists this ribosomal RNA (433 nucleotides) under uncultured bacterium. Its description in RNAcentral is "partial 16S ribosomal RNA". It matches the Rfam family "Bacterial small subunit ribosomal RNA", at positions 29 to 507 of the family's 1533-position model. The record is from RNAcentral.
AACGAACGCUGGCGGCAUGCCUAACACAUGCAAGUCGAACGAGACCUUCGGGUAUAGUGGCGCACGGGUGCGUAACGCGUGGGAACCUGCCCUUAGGUUCGGAAUAACUCCCCGAAAGGGGUGCUAAUACCGGAUAAUGUCUUCGGACCAAAGAUUUAUCGCCUUUGGAUGGGCCCGCGUUGGAUUAGCUAGUUGGUAGGGUAAAAGCCUACCAAGGCGACGAUCCAUAGCUGGUCUGAGAGGAUGAUCAGCCACACUUGGACUGAGACACGGCCCAGACUCCUACGGGAGGCAGCAGUGGCGAAUAUUGGACAAUGGGCGAAAGCCUGAUCCAGCAAUGCCGCGUGAGUGAUGAAGUCCUUAGGGUUGUAAAGCUCUUUUACCCGGGAUGAUAAUGACAGUACCGGGAGAAUAAGCUCCGGCUAACUCCGUG